CCCGCCUGGGCUGCCAAGGCCGGUUCCCGUGGGUCAAUCUUUAACUUCUGCUCCUGGGAAAUGAGUAACUGAGGAAUGAGGAGCUCUGUUCCUGGCGGGAGCCCUUCCACAGAUUUGACAAGGUGAUUUUCUGAGGCCCCCAGAUGUUCUGUCCAGCUCCAAACCAAGGCGAAAGAAAUAAGCAUGGACCAGAUCUCUUGUAAUGGAGCAGAGGAGAGAGAAAGGAAUCGCUGUGGGAAUGGGCAACAAAAUCCAUCUCCUCCUCCUCUUCCAGCCUCUGCCUUUUGGGAACAGGAACCCUUCCAAACUCCUCGCUCCCGGGGGGGUUGGGAAAUCCUCAAUCCUCAGCAGAAACUCCCUCCAAUUCUUCCUCGACUGCUUUGAUAACGACCCUCAGGAGCUUCACACCUCGUUAGUGCCCUUCCUCCAGCUCUGCUCUCCAAUUUCGAAUCGAUUUAAACAUUAUUCUCUCCUUCUCUUAUCGAGUUUAACUCAAUUUUAUCCAUUAAAGCUUCAACUGAA
Molecule: long non-coding RNA, 522 nt
Organism: Pipra filicauda (Wire-tailed manakin)
Lineage: Eukaryota; Metazoa; Chordata; Aves; Passeriformes; Pipridae
Exons: 4
Source: RefSeq, a predicted model, not a curated record